This 104-nucleotide ribosomal RNA is filed under the name Fusarium oxysporum. RNAcentral describes it as "5.8S ribosomal RNA". It matches the Rfam family "5.8S ribosomal RNA", at positions 12 to 115 of the family's 154-position model. From Rfam's summary of the family: 5.8S ribosomal RNA (5.8S rRNA) is a component of the large subunit of the eukaryotic ribosome. It is transcribed by RNA polymerase I as part of the 45S precursor that also contains 18S and 28S rRNA. Functionally, it is thought that 5.8S rRNA may be involved in ribosome translocation. Lineage: Eukaryota; Fungi; Ascomycota; Sordariomycetes; Hypocreales; Nectriaceae. The record is from RNAcentral.
ACGGAUCUCUUGGUUCUGGCAUCGAUGAAGAACGCAGCAAAAUGCGAUAAGUAAUGUGAAUUGCAGAAUUCAGUGAAUCAUCGAAUCUUUGAACGCACAUUGCG